CCUACGGGAGGCAGCAGUAGGGAAUCUUUCACAAUGGGCGAAAGCCUGAUGGAGCAACGCCGCGUGCAGGAUGAAGGCCUUCGGGUUGUAAACUGCUUUUAUAAGCGAGAAAUAUGAUGGUAACUUAUGAAUAAGGAUCGGCUAACUACGUGCCAGCAGCCGCGGUCAUACGUAGGAUCCGAGCAUUAUCCGGAGUGACUGGGUGUAAAGAGUUGCGUAGGUGGCAUAAUAAGUAGCUAGUGAAAUCUGGUGGCUCAACCAUUCAGACUAUUAGCGAAACUGUUAAGCUCGAGACCGUUAGGGGUAACUGGAAUUUCUAGUGUAGGAGUGAAAUCCGUAGAUAUUAGAAGGAACACCAAUAGCGUAGGCAGGUUGCUGGGACGGUUCUGACACUAAGGCACGAAAGCGUAGGGAGCAAACGGGAUUAGAUACCCGAGUAGUC
Molecule: ribosomal RNA, 442 nt
Filed under: uncultured bacterium
Lineage: Bacteria
Description: partial 16S ribosomal RNA
Rfam family: Bacterial small subunit ribosomal RNA
Source: RNAcentral